Molecule: non-coding RNA, 27 nt
Filed under: Mus musculus (house mouse)
Lineage: Eukaryota; Metazoa; Chordata; Mammalia; Rodentia; Muridae
Source: RNAcentral
UAUGCUUGCACACUGGGGAUCAGACCU